UGGUUUCCAUUUCUCCCUCGCAAAUCUGGGCUUCUGGGCUUCAGUCUACAUUCAACUCGCUCUCUCUCGCUCUCCAUCUUCAUAGAAAACCUGAUUCCUCAACGCUUUCUCAAAACCUGCAAGUUUGGUUUCGACCAUUCUAUCCCAACUCACAAUCUUCGGCGCAAAACCUUGAAAAUAUUGGCCUGUGUUUCCGUCUCCAUCCCCUGAGUUGGGAUCGGUCUCUAAGAGCUUUCUGCGUCCAUCCUUCCGAAGCUACGGCCUUCACCGUAUCGCUCCGUCAGCCUCCACAUUCUCCGACUCCGGUUCCAAAAUGCGUAUUAAAAGGUUAGGUUGGAGAGAAUGGAGGUAGAAAUACAAUUGGGAAAGAUAAAGAAAGAUUUUAUGUUUGAAGGUAGAAAGUUUUUUAAUUUUUCGUGGAAUUGAUGUUCUGUUUUCGAAUGAGUUUAUUAUGGUUUGCUUGGACAAGUACCAAGAGAGUUUGGGAUUGAAAAGUUGAGAGAGGCCACACAUGGGUUCAGAGAAAUAGCUUGAUUGAAGGGUCUGUUUAUAAAGGUUUCAUGAAUGGAGAUUUCUUUGCUAUCCAGAAGAUGAAGUGGAACGCGUGUGAGGUGCUCAAGAUCCUACAUAAGCGAAGCAGAACGAGUCAAGCCAUCAGAUGUGAUCCUAGGUACCAAAGGCAGAGGCUUCAUUCAAAGUGAGACAUACAGGAGGGAACUGGUGGACCUCUGAAGGGAAACGUGGUGGGAAUUCCUUAAUACACUCUUCUAUGUCUCAGAAGUUGUGGUUUAUAUACAGACAGUUGACAGAUUGGAUGAUGGAACCAUAUGAGCAAAACUUAAUCCACUUGAUUAUAAAAGGGCUCCAUCAGGCAAUAUGCUCUGCGUCAAAUUUACAGAGCUUUUCCAUUGAUUUUUUUCUUGCUGCUUUUUAACUCUUGACAUGAUUUCAGGAUGUUGGAAGAGCCUUCUUCCAGGCACAUGUUGAGAGUCACUAAAGUAGCUCUAUGGGUGAUACGAUUACAAAGGUACUAUGGGAAUCUCAUGCACACUAUUACGGUUGGACUUUCUCACUCUCUCACACCCCUUUUUCUUGAAUGUUGAUCAGGUUUUAAGUAUCGUUACCUAAUCAUUCCAUUUUGGUCAUUUUCUCAAUCAAUUUUUUUUACUGGAAAAUUCAGUUUAUAUUGAUCAAUAAACAAAAACCAGUUAAUGUCAGUGUGGUUGUUUAAUAUAUAGAAAAAUCUAUUAUUUGUAGUAUUAUUUAUAAAUUCUAAGACAGUUAUCUUCAAGUAUCAGUUGUUCUUCAUUAACUAUAGUACAACAAGGAUUGGUUAAUUGAUAUAAAAACGAUUUUGUGGGUCAUAGAAUCUCAUGUUUUUAGUCUCUGUGCUUCAUUUGAACCUACUUCAUUGCUCUUAUUUGAAAAGUGGGGCAUAUCUUUCUCACUUGAAUAUUAUGCAUGCACUUAUGCAGUUAGCAAUUUUAAAGGAUUUUGAUAAGCUGCAUAUACGGUUGUUUAUAAGCUACAUGUACGGUUGUUCAUAAGUUACAUGUACAGUUGUUUUGUUCUGCACCAUAUAGAUAACUUAAUUGAAAUAUAGUCUUCCGCAUGUGCUCACCCGAUUUGUGUACAUCCAAAGGCUAUAGAUUUUGCUAUAGUUGGAAAUUUGACAGCAUGGAAUGUUUUGUGCGUAGUUUAGAAUUUAGUUUGAGAGGUGGUGGUGGAACAUGGAAUGUUUCUUCAUUGUAUAAUGCUUUAUGUAUUCUUUGUAUUGAUACGAUUAAA
Malus domestica (apple) is the source of this 1788-nucleotide non-coding RNA. NCBI's taxonomy places the organism in Eukaryota, Viridiplantae, Streptophyta, Magnoliopsida, Rosales, Rosaceae. The record is from RefSeq and is a predicted model, not a curated record.